GUGGGCAAUCUGCCCUGCACUCUGGGACAAGCCCUGGAAACGGGGUCUAAUACCGGAUACUGACCCCCGCAGGCAUCUGCGGGGUUCGAAAGCUCCGGCGGUGCAGGAUGAGCCCGCGGCCUAUCAGCUUGUUGGUGAGGUAACGGCUCACCAAGGCGACGACGGGUAGCCGGCCUGAGAGGGCGACCGGCCACACUGGGACUGAGACACGGCCCAGACUCCUACGGGAGGCAGCAGUGGGGAAUAUUGCACAAUGGGCGAAAGCCUGAUGCAGCGACGCCGCGUGAGGGAUGACGGCCUUCGGGUUGUAAACCUCUUUCAGCAGGGAAGAAGCGAAAGUGACGGUACCUGCAGAAGAAGCGCCGGCUAACUACGUGCCAGCAGCCGCGGUAAUACGUAGGGCGCGAGCGUUGUCCGGAAUUAUUGGGCGUAAAGAGCUCGUAGGCGGCUUGUCGCGUCGGUUGUGAAAGCCCGGGGCUUAACCCCGGGUCUGCAGUCGAUACGGGCAGGCUAGAGUUCGGUAGGGGAGAUCGGA
Molecule: ribosomal RNA, 535 nt
Filed under: Streptomyces pilosus
Lineage: Bacteria; Bacillati; Actinomycetota; Actinomycetes; Kitasatosporales; Streptomycetaceae
Description: bacterial SSU rRNA
Rfam family: Bacterial small subunit ribosomal RNA
Source: RNAcentral